UUUAUGUAUAAAAGACCUAACUUAACCUAACCUAAUCGCAAUCUCCUUCUCUUCUCUUCUGCGGCCUCUCCCUCUUCUGAGUCUUCUCUCCUUCUCAGACAGACUCAUCUCCAUCCAAGUCUCCAACUCCAUUCUUUUUUCUUCUCUCAGUCUCAGAUUCUCUUUGUGGAUCAUCGGCAUCACCAGAAGCAAACCAAUAACGGAAGAUUGAAGAACAGAACCCAGCUAUCUUCUUUUACCCAGUUGGUAAAUAAAUCAUUCUUUACCUCUCAAACUGCAUCCACAUUACAGU
Long non-coding RNA from Papaver somniferum (opium poppy), 292 nucleotides. RefSeq lists it as uncharacterized. The transcript has 3 exons. The record is from RefSeq and is a predicted model, not a curated record. Lineage: Eukaryota; Viridiplantae; Streptophyta; Magnoliopsida; Ranunculales; Papaveraceae.